GUCAGUUGUUCCUGCAGUGCCACUUGACACCAUGCUUUCUCUCUCUCAUACCUCAUUUACUAAUUCUUAGAGAAGGAAGAGAAAGAAAAGAAGAAUCAAGGGAAGAGAAGAAGGUCUCUGAUUCUUUGAUGUGGUUCAUUUCCAAACCAAAGAUCAUCAAGCCUCUUAAAGAAUACUCUUUAAUCCACUUUUAUCUAGAAUGAGAUGGUGAGUUCUGCAACCAAAAGCCAGAGAGAGUCUUGCCUUUCGCAAUGCCAAAUUAAGAAGAUGAAUGCAUAGCUCACUCAGAGAAACAAACCUUAUGAAGACAGUCUUCGCUACAGGGGCUUACUCAUCAUGCAAUACCUCCUCUUGGCUGUGGACAUUUUGAUGAAACAUUGAAAUUAGAGUCAACCAACCUAAAUAUCUGUAACAACAUCUGGAAAGGUGUAUAAUUCAGAAUUGCAUGAAGACAACAAAAGAUUGGUGAACUUGCUAUAGUCUACACUUAGGACUGGCAAUUCUGUGUGUGCUCCUGUAACCCCAGCCACAUGUAACUCCAUGCCUGGAGAAUUUUCUGGAAUCUGGGUGUAUCUUCUCUGGA
RNAcentral lists this long non-coding RNA (583 nucleotides) under Macaca mulatta (Rhesus monkey). RNAcentral's name for it is "lncRNA (ENSMMUG00000053943.1)". The record is from RNAcentral. Lineage: Eukaryota; Metazoa; Chordata; Mammalia; Primates; Cercopithecidae.